CGGCUCGUCUCAUCCUGGGGCUGGAGUAGGUCCCAAGGGUUGGGCUGUUCGCCCAUUAAAGAGGCACGCGAGCUGGGUUCAGAACGUCGUGAGACAGUUCGGUCCCUAUCUUCUGUGCGCGCAGGAAACUUGAGAAGGGCUAACCCUAGUACGAGAGGACCGGGUUGGACGAACCUCUGGUGUGUCGGUUGUUCCGCCAGGAGCACCGCCGAUUUGCUACGUUCGGAAGGGAUAACCGCUGAAAGCAUCUAAGCGGGAAGCUCGCUUCGAGAUUAGGUUUCCCACUGGUUUACCAGGUAAGGCCCCCAGUAGACGACUGGGUUGAUAGGCCGGAAGUGGAAGAGUCGCAAGACUUGGAGCUGACCGGUACUAAUAGGCCGAGGAUUUAACUAC
Molecule: ribosomal RNA, 393 nt
Filed under: Acidobacteriota bacterium
Lineage: Bacteria; Pseudomonadati; Acidobacteriota
Description: partial 23S ribosomal RNA
Rfam family: Bacterial large subunit ribosomal RNA
Source: RNAcentral